AUGAUUGUGCGUCUAGUCCAUG
Molecule: microRNA, 22 nt
Filed under: Lingula anatina
Lineage: Eukaryota; Metazoa; Brachiopoda; Lingulata; Lingulida; Lingulidae
Source: RNAcentral